Molecule: ribosomal RNA, 465 nt
Filed under: uncultured bacterium
Lineage: Bacteria
Description: partial 16S ribosomal RNA
Rfam family: Bacterial small subunit ribosomal RNA
Source: RNAcentral
CUACGGGAGGCUGCAGUCGAGAAUAGUCUACAAUGGACGAAAGUCUGAUAGUGCGACGCCGCGUGGAUGAAGAAGCAUUUCGGUGUGUAAAGUCCUUUUCUGUGUGAGCAAUGUUUUCCAGGUUAAUAGCUUGGAGAAAGCGAUAUUAACACAGGAAUAAGCUCCGGCUAACUCCGUGCCAGCAGCCGCGGUAACACGGGGGGAGCAAGCGUUGUCCGGAAUUACUAGGCGUAAGGGGAAGUAGGCGGAAUUGUAAGUCAGAUGUUAAAGGCACCGGCUCAACCGGUGUAUGGCAUUUGAUUCUGUAAUUCUAGAGUAAGGUGGGGGGAGACGGAAUUCCUGGUGUAGCGGUGGAAUGCGCAGAUAUCAGGAGGAACACCAGAGGCGCAGGCGGUCUUCUAUACCAUUACUGACGCUCAAUUACGAAGGUGUGGGUAUCAAACAGGAUUAGAUACCCGCGUAGUC